UGCAAGUCGAGCGAGAAAGGGGAGCAAUCCUUGUGACUUUAGCGCACGGGUGAGUAACACGUGGGUAAUCUGUUUAGGAGUGGGGAAUAACACCGGGAAACCGGUGCUAAUACCGCAUACGAUCACGAUGUUUGCGAACGUUGUGAUUCAAGCCAUAAGUCGCUCUGAGAGGAGCCCGCGGCUGAUUAGCUAGUUGGUGGGGUAAUGGCCCACCAAGGCAACGAUCAGUAUCCGGUCUGAGAGGACGGUCGGACACACUGGAACUGAGACACGGUCCAGACUCCUACGGGAGGCAGCAGUGGGGAAUUUUUGGCAAUGGGGGCAACCCUGACCAAGCAACGCCGCGUGGGUGAUGAAGUCUCUUGGGACGUAAAA
Molecule: ribosomal RNA, 375 nt
Filed under: uncultured Acidobacteriota bacterium
Lineage: Bacteria; Pseudomonadati; Acidobacteriota
Description: bacterial SSU rRNA
Rfam family: Bacterial small subunit ribosomal RNA
Source: RNAcentral